ACGAACGCUGGCGGCGUGCUUAACACAUGCAAGUCGAGCGGAAAGGCCCCUUCGGGGGUACUCGAGCGGCGAACGGGUGAGUAACACGUGAGCAACCUGCCCCUGACUCUGGGAUAAGCCCGGGAAACUGGGUCUAAUACCGGAUGUGACGCACUCUCGCAUGGGAUGUGUGUGGAAAGUUUUUCGGUUGGGGAUGGGCUCGCGGCCUAUCAGCUUGUUGGUGGGGUGAUGGCCUACCAAGGCGACGACGGGUAACCGGCCUGAGAGGGCGACCGGUCACACUGGGACUGAGACACGGCCCAGA
RNAcentral lists this ribosomal RNA (304 nucleotides) under uncultured Actinomadura sp. Its description in RNAcentral is "bacterial SSU rRNA". It matches the Rfam family "Bacterial small subunit ribosomal RNA", at positions 29 to 335 of the family's 1533-position model. The record is from RNAcentral. Lineage: Bacteria; Bacillati; Actinomycetota; Actinomycetes; Streptosporangiales; Thermomonosporaceae.